GUAACGGGGGGGGCGCAGACCCCAAGUCGCAUAACGCAAUACAUUAGUUGAACAGGAUUCAAAACGUGAGGUAUUGCUGCUAUGUAUUAAAUAUUCGAGAUCCCCUAUGCUUGCGAUUUGGCCCGAAGAAUAAUCCAUUCCACCGGACUCCCACACGGCAUCAGUGCGGUGAACCUCGCUCUCGCGAAGAAUUCGGUGCGUGCGACUGCCACCACCCGACAAAAGUCACGAGACCGCUGGUGGGAACUCCAGCCCACUGGAGAGUGCUUCCAAUGUGGUCGCUGACUGCAAACUGAGCGCCUUCGAAGGCGGCCGAUCUGGCAGCUGACUGCUGACUGACGAGCCGGCGAAGGGUGCCGCCAUGCCGUGCUUCUUCCGGGACGGCUACCAGAUGCAGCCGAGGGUGAUCAGGCCUGUGAUCAGCCCGCGCCACAUCCUGCUGCUGGCCGUGCUGACGGUGGUGCUGUACGCCGAGUGGUGGGACUUGGCGCAGCACGCGCGCGCCUGGCCGACGCUGCCCGGCGAGGCGGAACACGGCAGCCUGCGCCUCCUGCUGGUGGCCGACCCCCAGCUGCAGGGCGAACUCACCGAGCCGGCCUGGCCGCUGGGCACCCUUACGCGCUGGGACUCAGACAGGUACAUGCGUCAGGGGUUCGGCCGCGCCUUCCAGCACGUGAUGCCAGACGCCGUGGUGUUCCUCGGUGACGUGCUGGACGAGGGCAGCGUGGCCUCGCCCGAACAGUACGCCGGCUACAUCAGGCGCUUCUGGUCCAUCUUCGGCUUCCCCAGGAACACCAAGAUGGUGGCGGUUCCUGGUGACAACGACAUCGGUGGCGAAGGUAGAGAGCCCGUGAAGCCGGACAAGGUGCAGGCCUUUAAGAGUGUCUUCGGUGCCAAGACUUCGACCAUCGUCGAUUUCGUCCAGUUUUACAAGGUCUGGACGAUCCCGCCGUCCUCGAACCACUCGGCCCCGCCGCUGACCGACGGCAUCAACGUGCUGGUCAGCCACUUCCCGCUGACCUCCAGCGUGUCGACGCUCACCCGAGAGACGUUGCUGCGCCUGCGCGUGAACCUGAUCUUCUCGGCGCACUCGCACACCUCGUAUGUGGCCAUCCGACGGAAGCGGUCUGGCCACAGCCUGCGCAUGGAGAGCCUGACCGGCGGCCGACUGGAGCGAUUGAACCUGGAGGACGACAACGUUGUCGAGAUCGUCGUGCCCACGUGCUCGUACCGGAUGGGUGUGCGGACCAUGGGGUACGGUGCUGCCGUCAUCGAUCGGGAGGGUGGUCUCAGCUACGCCGUGCUCUGGCUGCCGUCUCGCUUCAAGCAUUUACACAUCUACCUGGCCGUACUGCUAUGCGUGUGCGUCGUGCUCACCGCCUACCUCUGCAACCGACGGGGCGACCGACGACGCAGUAUUCACCGCAGCAAGAUGGCCGGCGUCUGAGGCGUCGCGUCAAGAUGGCUGCCUUUGGAGGCAAGAUGGCCGCCGAGCGAGGCGGGCAGGUUGGCACGGUUUGCAGCUGCUACAGCCUCAACUGCUGCGUGUGGACAGACACAGAGAGUGGUCUUACAGUUGGAUCAGAACUACACUACCAUUACCCAUCCAAACUGUUUCCAUCGGUAAGUUCAGCACACUUUGGCAACACUUGGGCGAUGCUGGAUGGUCUUCAUCCUUCCGGGGGGAGGCUAAUCGGCCAUUGAUGACGUGUUGACGUUGCGAGCUAAUGAUUGCGAAGCGUUUUUGUGCAGUAUGCCAGAGAUAGAUCCAACCGUCCCAGCAGGCUCAGGUCCGAGCUGGUGGGCUCAGAGCGUUGUGGGUUUGUUGGCCUGAACCAUCAUUGGCUGUCAGCUAUUGCGUUCAGCAUCGGAGGAUGCUGUCUGCCAGCUGGUAGACGCCACCCACGCUGUGAGAGAGAUCCAGACUGACACACCGAGCGAUGGGUGCCGGCUCAGUUCCAGCUGGUCGUGAACGGAGCUAAGCGUGAGCAGAAUGACGUCUUCACUUGCCUGGGGUCUGCUGGAAGCGCUGCCGGCUGGGUGUGGAGGGUCGAAACCAGAGGUGGAGUUAGCUCCCUGUACCGUGACACCUUUUGGACCUUGCAUGUUCUCAAGAGGUUCAACAGGGAUUUUUAGCUGUUUUACCGCAUCAGGACAAUGACGACCUUUAAUAAUAUGCAUUCUUGACAGAAGUUUCUGUAUAUAGUGAUGUUACUUAUCUUUCGUGCUUCCACUUUCCCUUCCGAUGUUCGAUGAGCGGAGCGUUGCUGCUGAUCCUGAUCUCGGUGACUCCGCCCUCCCGGCUGAUCGCGGUGCCGUCUGGGAGCUUCGGACACUCCCGACUUUAACGUCUCCGCUGAUCCUGAUCUCAGCGACUCCGCCGUCCCGGGUGAUCGUGGUGCGGUGCGGGGGCUCCGAACACUCCCGAUUUUAACGUGUCCGCUGACAGCGCUGGAUCGCUAGGUCUUCCCCGUUAUAUCAUGUUUGGUACAUUUCAUGAGACACAUAACUUACAGCUGCUGGCGUCGUGAUCUCGCCUGCCAGAUGUAGCGGAGAGCUGGACCACAGGGAACAGUGAGGUUCGCGGCCGUGUAGCUGAAGGCAUAGGGAGCUCAGACCCCCCCCCCCCCCGGCCCCACCCACCUGCAACAUGUUCAGCCGCCGAGACGCUGAUAACGGCCGUGUGUGGUUUGCGUCCAUGUCAAUGGCACCAGAGCUACGUUGCUUCAGCUUUUGCUACAGCCUGCGAACCUAGAUUGGCGUGCGUUCACGGAAAUAUUCCAGCUGCGAACGCGAAGUAUCAAACAAACGGACAGGCCCACCAUAGCCAGUGCAUCGGCGGCCGUAUGUGUCGGUCGCGCUCAUAAAGGAAUGUCUGCUCUAGGUUACAGUUGUGAAAAGAUCUCUGCUGAACAAAGCCUCGUUUUAUGUUGGCAUUUCAGCCCUAUCACGUGGAGACAACUCCACGCUGCAAAGGUUCCUUCGAGACUCAGCAUAAGUUGUCAAGCUUUUGGCCGCCUUGAUUCACCUGGCGGCGUUUGCUGCACUGUUGGUUUGCUGGUUUACCCUUAGAUGUUACUAGUGAGCAAGCGGGAGCGAAUUCGACGCCUGCAUUGCAACAUGGGGGGGGGGGGGCAUUGCAUCUUUGGGGUUGUGUUUUACAUGCUUUUCGUUGAGGAAGUUCGGGCUGCAAAGAUCAAUGGGCGUGCAUUUUCUGCCUCAAGUGUACGUCUUUUAAAAAUUAUGUUGCAUUUCCUUGUUGAUUUACCGCGCGUCUUUAGUUUUAGUCUUUAGUUUUGCUUCGAAUGAUUUUCGUGCAAGUUAAAGUUGCAUCCUUCCCACCAAGGAAGAUGUCUUGAGUUGGUCACGUGGCCCACCAACACUGCUGUAUAGGACCUCAAUAAGCAACGCCGCGGCGAUGUUGGACUGAAGACACGCUCUGUUGAGCAGGCCUACGAGGGCUUGUCCGCGUUUCCACCGUCUCAGUCAAUGACUUUCUUCCCACAUGCAGAGGCGACGGAUUUAUCACCGUACUGCUUCACACUCGCAGACCGAGACAGCUGACGUUGACACACAUGCUAACGAUGACCUUGCCGAACCGGUCCCCCCACCAACGGAUGGGAGUGGCCGAGUUUGAUAUGGUUUACCAAGCGGUGGGUGAAUGUCAGCGAGGUAACAUGCGUUGGCCGAGCCGGAGCGGACGGGCUUGGGUUGUCAUCAGCGUACCGGCUAGUCACCAAUGCAUGUGUUAGUCUUCACUGUCAAGCACGUACAGCCCGCGUGCUACAACGCAGCGUUCCCGCAGUUUAGUUGGGUUGUGCCACACAACUGGGUAAUAGGGACUGGACUCAACUCUAACCAGCAAUAAGGCCAAGGUCUGGUUGCUUUGCCAGUGCUAGAUAAUUACCCAGAAUUCGGAUGGGCAAAAAUCUUAUUGGGUAAGGGGAUAAUCUUCUUGCCAAAAAAUUACUCCUCGAAUGAAAGCACAUGUUUUUUUACUAGCGUUGGGGCCACAUGCCUCUCGCCUCCUUCCUUUCCCGGAUACGUUCUUGUUUUGAGUCUCGGAGGCAGCUUAAAAUAGCCCAGUUCAAGUGCGUUAGCCAGCAAUAUAGCUUAUACAGGCUGCGCACCGUGUUUAAAGAACACUCGCCCGGUAGACCGCAUCACUCAGGGACAGCGACGCCACGGUGCUGAUCUGUGGGCGGCAGUCUUGUGUCUGUCUCGAUGAUGGGGCGUCAGACCUUGCCGUACGCCUCCCGCUGCUGCGAGCGCGCCGGCCGGAUGACGAAGGCUGACGCGGCCGGCCGGGCAUGGCGCGCGGGGCAUCGCAGGCACGGCAGGUCAGCUUGUGGAGGCUACGUCUGUGGUCGAGGUUCUCCGCAUAUUCGGGGAAGGGGGAUGUGGUGCGCUAGACAGCGGACCG
RNAcentral lists this unclassified non-coding RNA (4423 nucleotides) under Pollicipes pollicipes. Its description in RNAcentral is "uncharacterized LOC119104241, transcript variant X1". The record is from RNAcentral. Lineage: Eukaryota; Metazoa; Arthropoda; Thecostraca; Pollicipedomorpha; Pollicipedidae.